GUACAUCCCAUCGCUCUUCUCCACCGCCUUCAACUUCACGCUCCAGAUGUACCUGCAGUCACAGAGCAAGAACUUCGUCAUCACCUACCUCGCCUUCAUAAGCUUCUUCCUCCACCUGUUCCUGUCCUGGCUCUUGACCGCCAAGUUCCACCUCGGACUCGCUGGGGUCAUGUUGUCCAUGAUCAUCGCCAUGUGGAUUCCGGUGCUUGGGCAGCUUGCCUUCGUGCUCUUUGGUGGCUGCCCUCUCACGUGGACAGGGUUCUCGUCCACCGCGUUCACCGACCUCCUCCCCAUCCUCAAGCUCUCCGUAUCCUCUGGUGUCAUGCUCUGGUAAGAACAAGCUUCAGCAUGUACAUAUUUGAAAUUUCAGUUGUCUUCCAAGUGUGCACCCACAUUUUACACUUGACUGUCCAUAUCAAAAUUUCAGAUGCACCUAGUAACAAUGCAUGUUUUCCCUCCUAUUUCUCUCUUCAGUUUGGAGCUGUGGUACAACAGCAUAUUGGUGCUCCUAACUGGGUACAUGAAGAAUGCAGAGGUUGCACUUGACGCUCUUUCAAUAUGGUAAUAUAUACUGGUUUACUUCACGGUCACUGUGUCAUUGAUUCAAGUUUUUACAUGAGCUUUGGUUUUCCACUAUGGAUAUUGCUAUUAGUUUAGAGAAUGAUAUAUAGUUGGUCAUCAGUGCACAUAUUUCAUUUGCCUAUGUGAAAUGUGCAGCCUUAAUAUCAAUGGUUGGGAGAUGAUGAUUUCUGUCGGCUUUUUGGCUGCAACAGGGUAAACAUCUUGAUCCAAGAGCUCGUUGUUAUUCGUUAACUGAUCAUGUGACCUAACCAGUUUCUGACGGUAAUGAUUUUUUGUGUUCCUAGAGUGCGUGUGGCAAACGAGCUUGGAGCUAGAAGCGCAAGAAAGGCCAAGUUUGCCAUCUACAACGUAGUCACCAUUUCUUUCUUGAUAGGCGUCGUGUCAUUUGUGUUCUUCCUACUCUUCCGCGGAAAGCUUUCUUACGUAUUUACCGAGAGUGAAGAGGUAGCUGCCGCAGUUGCUGACUUGUCACCUCUUCUGGCCUUCUCCAUAUUGGUGAACAGCGUUCAGCCAGUGCUAUCAGGUCUGCUUCAUUCAGCAUUUGACUUGCUAUAAUAUUAUUACAAUCAUUUUGUUUGGUUUACCAAAACUAUAACCUUUUUUAUUUCCGUUUUUAGGUGUUGCUGUUGGUUCAGGUUGGCAAAGCAUAGUUGCCUAUGUUAACCUGACAACAUAUUACUUGAUCGGUAUCCCUCUUGGAGCAAUCCUAGGUUACGUUGCUGGGUAUCAUGUGAAGGUAAGAUAAUUAGUCUAGGCUACAUUUGACGUAUCAGUCAGUCAUUUACUAAACUUAUUAUCCUUGUGCAUCUUGGGUUGUCGUGCUAACUCUCCUUGGUUGUUGCACUGUAGGGCAUUUGGAUCGGCAUGCUGCUUGGAACAGUGGUCCAAACUAUUGUACUUCUGUUCAUAAUAAUCAGGACUGACUGGCAAAAAGAGGUCAGCUAGCUUGUCUAAUGCUAAAUCAUCACAUGUACUAAAAAAUUGUUACCUACUGUAUAAAAUUUUCAUAAGAUUGACCUAAUUAAAUAACAGUUCAUUGCACAAAAAAAAAAUAUUGACUGCUAGAAGAGAGUGAACGGAUGAGAUAUAUAACUCUAUGGUUUCUAUUCCUGAUUAUAGGUAGAGGUUGCUCAGGAGAGAUUGCAGAGAUGGAACAUGGAAGGCAACAAAAGAACGGCAGACUCAAAGGGAAGUCCAUGAGAUUAAAAAAGAUCUGGCUCGAGUGUCGAAUAGCUCAUUGAAGGUAGAACUCAGUGGUACUCUGCUCGGUGUUCGCGAACCCUUUCAAAGGAUAUAUCUACAUUUUUUUUUCACAAUGCCAAGAAUGGGAACUGGUGGAAGGAACAUUAGCAGACGCAGACGUCCCGGGGAUCGUAUCCUCGAGAUCGAGCAAACGACAACAUGACCAGCAACAUUGAUGCUCCACUAGUGAAGGGAGAGCCUGCGUGUGUGCUAGCUAGUGGCACAAGUUUUGUUUCUGUAAUUAUUUUGGCCGUUGUAGUGAUGUUUUUCUCAUGAGAGUAACAUGUUGCGAUUCCGCAAACAUGCUAUUUUGUAAGUACAUCAAUUGCCAAUUGGACUUAUCAUAGAUCUUCGGUGUUGUUCCUCAAAAAGAAAAAAGAUCUUCGGUGCUGCUGUGAUUACGAAACAAUCGAUUAUUCAGUUGUCUUGUGAUGAUAAACUUUGCAUAUAAUGUUGUACCAGAAUAUAUGUGUCUUUUGAAGAGGAGAAUGUGCUAGUGUAUCCGUGCAACUGUAUUAGUAUAACAGAAUAGAAAGGCAGCAAGGUUGAGGAGCACGCCACAGUGAAUUGGUCCGGGAAAUGGUAGACGCAAGAGGAGAGCAAGGAGGCACGAAGCUCACCUUGCGUGGAACGCAGGCGGAUGGGCCCGACGCCGGAGACGGCGAGACCCCUACAGAUACGUCGGCCAGGCUCCAUCGGAUCGCCGGCGAGUCCCCUACAGAUCCGACGGCCUGGCGCCAUUGGACCGCCUGCUGCUAGCAAGCUGCUGCCCUGCCCCUCCCCACUCCCCUCCGCAAGCUCCGGUUUUAAUCUAGGCUCCUCGGCCGCCGGCUUCAUCCCCAGCUCAGCUCCGCUCCCAUCCGCCGCCGCCGUCGAGCGGGGUAGAGAUAGAGAGAGUCCCAGUCACUGACACCCUGGCCCAAAAAACGCAUCCUCUUUCGUCUCGCUUACAAGCUGGCCCCACGUGUCAGGCCGAAACGAAUCCAACCUCUCGCGUAGGUAGAACGCAC
Molecule: long non-coding RNA, 2834 nt
Filed under: Brachypodium distachyon (stiff brome)
Lineage: Eukaryota; Viridiplantae; Streptophyta; Magnoliopsida; Poales; Poaceae
Description: long non-coding RNA (BDIS_LNC005362)
Source: RNAcentral